GCAGAGUAAGAUCGAAAGCGUUAAGUGUUCGGCGGACGGGGAGUUGUCGCCGGAACGAAGAGCCUCACGGCUUGCGGUUUUCGGUCUGCAUCCCGCUGC
RNAcentral lists this non-coding RNA (99 nucleotides) under bovine gut metagenome. RNAcentral describes it as "THF riboswitch". It matches the Rfam family "THF (Tetrahydrofolate) riboswitch aptamer". Rfam says of the family: THF riboswitch presents a pseudoknot that joins P1-P2 and the loop of P3 and two THF binding. RNAcentral also lists the same sequence under 1 other name. The record is from RNAcentral.